AUGAACGCUGGCGGCGUGCCUAAUACAUGCAAGUCGAGCGGACGGACGAGAAGCUUGCUUCUCUGAUGUUAGCGGCGGACGGGUGAGUAACACGUGGAUAACCUACCUAUAAGACUGGGAUAACUUCGGGAAACCGGAGCUAAUACCGGAUAAUAUUUUGAACCGCAUGGUUCAAAAGUGAAAGACGGUCUUGCUGUCACUUAUAGAUGGAUCCGCGCUGCAUUAGCUAGUUGGUAAGGUAACGGCUUACCAGGGCAACGAUGCAUAGCCGACCUGAGAGGGUGAUCGGCCACACUGGAACUGAGACACGGUCCAGACUCCUACGGGAGGCAGCAGUAGGGAAUCUUCCGCAAUGGGCGAAAGCCUGACGGAGCAACGCCGCGUGAGUGAUGAAGGUCUUCGGAUCGUAAAACUCUGUUAUUAGGGAAGAACAUAUGUGUAAGUAACUGUGCACAUCUUGACGGUACCUAAUCAGAAAGCCACGGCUAACUACGUG
Molecule: ribosomal RNA, 496 nt
Filed under: uncultured bacterium
Lineage: Bacteria
Description: partial 16S ribosomal RNA
Rfam family: Bacterial small subunit ribosomal RNA
Source: RNAcentral